RNAcentral lists this ribosomal RNA (433 nucleotides) under uncultured bacterium. RNAcentral describes it as "partial 16S ribosomal RNA". It matches the Rfam family "Bacterial small subunit ribosomal RNA", at positions 29 to 507 of the family's 1533-position model. The record is from RNAcentral.
AACGAACGCUGGCGGCAUGCCUAACACAUGCAAGUCGAACGAACCCUUCGGGGUUAGUGGCGCACGGGUGCGUAACGCGUGGGAAUCUGCCCUUUGCUUCGGAAUAACUCAGGGAAACUUGUGCUAAUACCGGAUGAUGUCUUCGGACCAAAGAUUUAUCGGCAAGGGAUGAGCCCGCGUAGGAUUAGGUAGUUGGUGGGGUAAAGGCCUACCAAGCCGACGAUCCUUAGCUGGUCUGAGAGGAUGAUCAGCCACACUGGGACUGAGACACGGCCCAGACUCCUACGGGAGGCAGCAGUGGGGAAUAUUGGACAAUGGGCGCAAGGCUGAUCCAGCAAUGCCGCGUGAGUGAUGAAGGCCCUCGGGUCGUAAAGCUCUUUUAACAGGGAUGAUAAUGACAGUACCUGGAGAAUAAGCGCCGGCUAACUCCGUG